This 265-nucleotide signal recognition particle RNA is filed under the name Scopulibacillus darangshiensis. Its description in RNAcentral is "Bacterial large signal recognition particle RNA". It matches the Rfam family "Bacterial large signal recognition particle RNA". From Rfam's summary of the family: The signal recognition particle (SRP) is a universally conserved ribonucleoprotein involved in the co-translational targeting of proteins to membranes. Archaeal SRP consists of a 7S RNA and homologues of the eukaryotic SRP19 and SRP54 proteins. Lineage: Bacteria; Bacillati; Bacillota; Bacilli; Caryophanales; Sporolactobacillaceae. The record is from Rfam by way of RNAcentral.
CCGUGCUAGACGGGGAGGUAGCGGUGCCCUGUACUCGCAAUCCGCUAUAGCGAGGUUGAAUCCCUUUCCGAGGUUUUAGCCUUGUAGGGCAGCCUUAAGUAAGUGGUGUUGACAUUUGGGUCCUGCGCAACGGAAACUCAUGAACCCUGUCAGGUCCGGAAGGAAGCAGCAGUAAGUGAGACCUUUCGUGUGCCGCAGGGCUGCCUGAAUCGAGCUAACUGCUUAAGAAGCGCCUAUGAGACUUUAAUCGACGGAAGGUGCACGG